RNAcentral lists this ribosomal RNA (433 nucleotides) under uncultured bacterium. RNAcentral describes it as "partial 16S ribosomal RNA". It matches the Rfam family "Bacterial small subunit ribosomal RNA", at positions 29 to 507 of the family's 1533-position model. The record is from RNAcentral.
AACGAACGCUGGCGGCAUGCCUAACACAUGCAAGUCGAACGAGACCUUCGGGUCUUGUGGCGCACGGGUGCGUAACGCGUGGGAACCUGCCCUUAGGUUCGGAAUAACUCCCCGAAAGGGGUGCUAAUACCGGAUAAUGUCUUCGGACCAAAGAUUUAUCGCCUUUGGAUGGGCCCGCGUUGGAUUAGCUUGUUGGUAGGGUAAAAGCCUACCAAGGCGACGAUCCAUAGCUGGUUCGAGAGGAAGAUCAGCCACACUGGGACUGAGACACGGCCCAGACUCCUACGGGAGGCAGCAGUGGGGAAUAUUGGACCAUGGGCGAAAGCCUGAUCGAGCAAGGCCGCGUGAGUGAUGAAGGCCUUAGGGUUGUAAAGCUCUUUUAACCGGGAUGAUAAUGACGGUACCGGGAGAAUAAGCCCCGGCUAACUCCGUG